Molecule: long non-coding RNA, 211 nt
Filed under: Carica papaya (papaya)
Lineage: Eukaryota; Viridiplantae; Streptophyta; Magnoliopsida; Brassicales; Caricaceae
Description: long non-coding RNA (CPAP_LNC010442)
Source: RNAcentral
GGCCAACCAGGAUGCGCCGCGUGGCAAGGAAACGCUGACUAGGGGACGGGCCACAUGGGCGAUCCGCGUGCGCGCGAUCGGACAGCCAAGAUCCGUUCCCGCGCGCACGAACAACCCAGAUCAAACAUGCGCACGGACAGCCCAGAUUCACGCGCACGGACGGCCCAGAUUCAAUCAGGCACAGAUGGCCCAUAUUACAUCGCGAUGGACG